GAGGAAAGUCCGGGCUCCAUAGAGCAGGGUGCCAGGUAACGCCUGGGGGGCGCAAGCCCACGACAAGUGCAGCAGAGAGAAGACCGCCGAUGACCCGUAAGGGCACAGGUAAGGGUGAAAGGGUGUGGUAAGAGCGCACCGUGCGGCUGGCAACAGUCCGUAGCAGGGUAAACUCCACCCGGAGCAAGACCAAAUAGGCUUCCACAUUGCGUUGCUCGCGUAAGGAGGCGGGUAGG
RNAcentral lists this unclassified non-coding RNA (236 nucleotides) under Vibrio nigripulchritudo MADA3020. RNAcentral describes it as "RNaseP_bact_a". It matches the Rfam family "Bacterial RNase P class A", at positions 43 to 275 of the family's 367-position model. Rfam says of the family: Ribonuclease P (RNase P) is a ubiquitous endoribonuclease, found in archaea, bacteria and eukarya as well as chloroplasts and mitochondria. Its best characterised activity is the generation of mature 5'-ends of tRNAs by cleaving the 5'-leader elements of precursor-tRNAs. Lineage: Bacteria; Pseudomonadati; Pseudomonadota; Gammaproteobacteria; Vibrionales; Vibrionaceae. The record is from RNAcentral.